Molecule: long non-coding RNA, 703 nt
Organism: Lacerta agilis (Sand lizard)
Lineage: Eukaryota; Metazoa; Chordata; Lepidosauria; Squamata; Lacertidae
Exons: 2
Source: RefSeq, a predicted model, not a curated record
AACGGAGAGGUUGGACCAAACCAAAGGAAUGGUGUUUCUGGUAGAGGCUGAGUGGGCAGAACCUAGCUCCAUGUCCCCCACAGAGAUGCUGCCCCUCUCCUUUCGGCUCUCCCAUGGAGCUUGAUGGAUUAGCUCAGGAAGGAAUACUGGCAGGAAGAGAUGAACCCAUUAUGUGAAUGAUAGCCUCUCUCAUCAGUGCCGGCAGUGGGAAGAGGAGAAUGUGGAAGACGUUAAUCUGCUUUAUUACAUUUAUUUCUCUCUCCUUGUUUUUCUCCCCUGGAGACUUUGCAGGCUUGGGGGGGAAAACCUUGCUCUGUGCAGAUAGGAAUGUAACUGAGGAUCCAGAAGCCAAGCUGGGCAAAAUGGCAAUUCUGCACGGUGUCCUAUUUGGAAUUACCCUGAGCCUUAGAGACGAGGUGAUAUUGCCAAGACAACUUUCAUUGCACCCGUUUAAGGUAAAUGACAAGCUUUUGUGACCAGCUGGAUGGGUGCAGGACAUGCACAAAUUGCAGGAAUGAAGCCAAGGAAAGGAGAAUGAGUCAAAUACCUUGUUGUACAGCUUCCUGAAGACCCCCAAGAAGAAACUGUGUUAAUUAUAAACGUGAACAUCUUUCCCAACCUAAACCUCUCUGCUAUGUACACUUGCACUACUAAUGCUAGAAUCUUAAACUGUGAAAUAGGAAUAAAUCCAAUAAUUGUGUUA